RNAcentral lists this ribosomal RNA (253 nucleotides) under uncultured bacterium. Its description in RNAcentral is "partial 16S ribosomal RNA". It matches the Rfam family "Bacterial small subunit ribosomal RNA", at positions 524 to 776 of the family's 1533-position model. The record is from RNAcentral.
UACGUAGGUGGCGAGCGUUGUCCGGAUUUACUGGGCGUAAAGGGCGUGCAGGCGGUUUGUUAAGUGCAGGGUGAAAGCUCCCGGCUCAACUGGGAGAGGUCCUUGCAUACUGGCGAACUCGAGGGAGGCAGAGGAAAGUGGAAUUCCCGGUGUAGUGGUGAUAUGCGUAGAUAUCGGGAGGAACACCUGUGGCGAAGGCAGCUCGCUGGGACGGUACUGACGCUGAGGCGCGAAAGCGUGGGGAGCGAACAGG